This 1515-nucleotide ribosomal RNA is filed under the name Candidatus Vidania fulgoroideorum. Its description in RNAcentral is "bacterial SSU rRNA". It matches the Rfam family "Bacterial small subunit ribosomal RNA". Lineage: Bacteria; Pseudomonadati; Pseudomonadota; Betaproteobacteria. The record is from RNAcentral.
UUAAGAGUUUGAUCCUGGCUCAGAUUGAACGCUGGCGGUAUGCAUUACACAUGCAAGUUAAACGGCUGUAAUAUCAGCAGUAGCAAACGGGUGAGUAAUACACUUGAAACAUACCUAAUAGAUAAGAAUAAUUUUGUGAAAAUAAUUUUAACUCUUAAUGAAUUGUUUAAAAAUAAAAUUAAACUAAAUAUACGAAUAAUAUUUAACAUCGUAUGCUUUUAGAUUGGCAAGUGCCAGAUUAUGUUUGUUGGUUAGAUAAAAGCUUAACCAAGACUUAGAUCUGUAGCUGUUCUGAGAGGAAGUUCAGCCACAUCGGGACUGAGACACGGCCCGAACUCCUACGGGAGGCAGCAGUGAGGAAUAUUGGACAAUGAGCGAAAGCUUGAUCCAGCAAUACCGCGUGUGUGAAGAAGGUCUUAGGAUUGUAAAACACUUUUUUUUAGGAUUAAAACUUUAUAUCUAAUAAAUAUAAAAAUGAAAGUACUAAAAGAAUAAGUACCGGCUAAUUGCGUGCCAGCAGCCGCGGUAAUACGUGAGGUGCAAGCGUUAAUCGGAAUUAUUGGGCGUAAAGCGUGUGUAGGCUGUUUAAUGUGAUAUUUGUAAAAUCUAAAAGCUCAACUUUUAAAAGCAAAUAUUACUAUUAGGCUUUGAAAUUUUUAUAGAGGGAAACGGAAUUCUGCAAGUAGUAGUGAAAUGCGUAGAUAUGCAGAGGAACACCAACAGCGAAGGCAGUUUCCUGGGUAAAAUUUGACGCUGAGACACUAAAGCGUGGGGAGCAAACAGGAUUAGAUACCCUGGUAGUCCACGCCCUAAACGUUGUCAACUAGCUAUUAGGAAAAUAUCUUAGUGGCGUAGCUAACGCAUUAAGUUGACCGCCUGGGUAGUACGAUCGCAAGAUUAAAACUCAAAGGAAUUGACGGGGACCUGCACAAGCGGUGGAUGAUGUGGAUUAAUUCGAUGAUACACGAAAAACCUUACCUACUCUUGACAUGUAUGAAAUCUUUUUGAGAAAAAGGAGUGCCUUUUAAAGAAAGGAAUCAUAACACAGGUGCUGCAUGGCUGUCGUCAGCUCGUGUCGUGAGAUGUUUGAUUAAGUUCUGUAACGAGCGCAACCCUUGCUUUUUUUUUCUACCAAAAGUGAUAAAUAAAAGGACUGCCGUUUUAUGGAGGAAGGAAAGGAUGACGUCAAGUCCUCAUGGCCCUUAUGAGUAGGGCUUCACACGUCAUACAAUGGUUAAUACAAUGAGUAAGUGAAUAACAAAACUAUAAAAUUAAUCUCAGUUCGGAUUGAGUUCUGCAACUCGAAUUCAUGAAGUUGGAAUCGCUAGUAAUCGCAGAUCAGCGUGCUGCGGUGAAUACGUUCUCAGGUCUUGUACACACCGCCCGUCACACCAUGGAAAUAAGUUUUAUUGGAAAUAAAUUCAUUAACCUUUUAGGGAAUGAGUUUAUGAUAAUAAAGUUUGUAACUGGGGUGAAGUCGUAACAAGGUAGCUGUAUCGGAAGGUGCGGCUGGAU